Molecule: ribosomal RNA, 253 nt
Filed under: uncultured bacterium
Lineage: Bacteria
Description: partial 16S ribosomal RNA
Rfam family: Bacterial small subunit ribosomal RNA
Source: RNAcentral
UACGUAGGGUGCAGGCGUUAAUCGGAAUUACUGGGCGUAAAGCGUGCGCAGGCGGUCUUUUAAGUCAGAUGUGAAAUCCCCGGGCUUAACCUGGGAACUGCGUUUGAAACUGGAAGGCUAGAGUGUGGCAGAGGGGGGUGGAAUUCCACGUGUAGCAGUGAAAUGCGUAGAGAUGUGGAGGAACACCGAUGGCGAAGGCGGCUGCCUGGGCCAGUUCUGACGCUGAGGCGCGAAAGCGUGGGGAGCAAACAGG